UACGUAGGGUGCAAACGUUGUCCGGAAUUAUUGGGCGUAAAGAGCUUGUAGGCGGUUUGUCGCGUCUGCUGUGAAAUUUCGGGGCUCAACCCCGAACUUGCAGUGGGUACGGGCAGACUAGAGUGUGGUAGGGGAGACUGGAAUUCCUGGUGUAGCGGUGAAAUGCGCAGAUAUCAGGAGGAACACCGAUGGCGAAGGCAGGUCUCUGGGCCACUACUGACGCUGAGAAGCGAAAGCAUGGGGAGCGAACAGG
Molecule: ribosomal RNA, 253 nt
Filed under: uncultured bacterium
Lineage: Bacteria
Description: partial 16S ribosomal RNA
Rfam family: Bacterial small subunit ribosomal RNA
Source: RNAcentral